CGGAGGGUGCUGCGGCGGCGGCUGCUGCGGCUGACGGCCACAGCACGGCGCGACGGCGAGCCGGCGGCCGUACGGCAGCGGUCUCUUCAGG
Molecule: transfer RNA, 91 nt
Filed under: Streptomyces griseorubiginosus
Lineage: Bacteria; Bacillati; Actinomycetota; Actinomycetes; Kitasatosporales; Streptomycetaceae
Description: tRNA-Val
Source: RNAcentral